Molecule: long non-coding RNA, 3631 nt
Organism: Bombus pascuorum
Lineage: Eukaryota; Metazoa; Arthropoda; Insecta; Hymenoptera; Apidae
Exons: 3
Source: RefSeq, a predicted model, not a curated record
AUGAUCAUUAUACGUAGUUAGUAGUAGAUUAACUCUUUCGUUCCACGUAACUUCGUAAAAAUUCGUCUACACGCGAGUCUCUAUCGUUCUACUCCAUCGAAUAACGAUAUCUUAUUCUGUUGAACGAUCAUUUGAUGACAUUCUCAGGUGUCACAUGCAAUAGAAUCUAAACGAUCGAAAUUACAUUAUUUUUUCAAGAAAGUGUCGAAUUGUUAGAAUUAUGGGCAAAUAAUCGCCGAUAAAGUACGACCGUUCCCGUUAAGAGAACAUUUCACAAUUGACAUUCGCGAGUCAAGUUUCGGCCAGUAUUUCACAUUCAUUGUAUGCAUGUAUCCUACCAGGCACGUACGCAAUUGCAUUCAACAUAGUACAAACAAUGACAAUGAGUAGGAAGGUGAACCGAAGCGAACGAAGUCACGCACUCUGGCUACUACAUGACGCGGUAGAGAAAUGAAAAAAAGAGAGCGGAGAAAGAGAAAAGGAAGGUUACAUGUUUAGUCUGAUAACGUUAUCUUUUUCAAGCAUGAGAAUGUCGUGAAAAGAACUACAUUGUAUUCGAACUAUCGUAGAACUUCCAGUUUCUAAUUGUCUAGCAUCGUAUCAAAAUCGUGCGUAUAUUUUAGCCGUAUUUCUAACUUUCUCCGAAUACUCCAUGCUACAGUUAUCGCAUCAUAAAUGUAACAAGUACGUGUUUGUUCUCUUAUUUGUUGUUCUAAUUAACUGUUUCGAUAGUUUUACCUUCGAAAAAACAAGUUUUUCAAACUUCUCAAAGAAAUGAAAGAUACAAAGCAAACACGAGGGAAACUGGUUACUCAUACGCUCGUUAACCGCAUCUAAGAAAAAGAUACGAAAUGUCUUGUAGUUGGCACCGUUGUUACGAACAUGUACUUGAUGUCUGUUUGUCAAGUACAUUCGUAUAAACACCUCACUGGGGAAAUAAUCAAGAAGAGGAAAUGUCGGUGGUAUACGUGCAGGUUAAUCUAAUAUCCAAGCGGAACACACAUCCUUUUGUUUCUAUAAAUCUAUGAAACUUGCGUUAUAUAAUCAGCUAUAGUAAUAGUUAAUAAUCGUACCGUGUUUAAUCUUUCUUUUUACGCGUCUUAAUAAUCAGAUCUCAGGUGAGUCUAACGAAACCAGUCAAUUAUAAAACUUUAAGGAAAAUAACACAAUUAUAGCACCGAUAUACCGUUAAGGGAGCUACACCAGGUAGUACCGUUGACCUGGAGCUGCGAUAUUCCUAUGCUACCACUGACCCAAAAACAACGUUCAUUGUUUAAGAAUCAAUACAAUUACACGUUACACUCUGCAUUAGCAUACGAAGAAUGUACGUAUUUACACUCUACCGAAUGUAUUAAUGUUCUACGAAUCUUAUUCUCUAAAUAAUUCGUAUAUUUAAUUAUACUUUGAACAAGUGGCGAAAGGCUUCGUUAAGAAUCGGUAAAAUGUGAUUAAUAUAGAAAUUCGAGGAUAUAAAAAUACAUCGCGUGUCGCUAUAAACGAAAUAAAUAUCGUUUAAAAUAAAUACGCGAGUAAGUGGAAUAUUAAUGGAAGAGGUAUUUAUUUAAGAGCAUCACGAACAGUCACGGUCCAGAAAUCAUUCGUUUCUUUGAACCCUCUCGAUUCUUAAUUUAUUAAGUCCAUAAAUGAAAUUAAUAAACCAACAGGAAAUAUGCUUCAGUGAUGGAAAAAUCGCAUCGUGAACUUUGGUAAGUCCAUUUAAACAACCAGCGAAACUCUGAUCUGUUUUCUUGUUCAAUUGCAUACGUGCGUUCUAACCAUCGAAUUACAGGAGAAAGUGGCCAGGUUAAAUUACAAUGGUUUCGUAAAUGUUAGAGUACGGAUCGGGUAUGUAUGUAUGAGUAUCGGAUUAAAUUGAUCUAUUUGUCGAUCAAUUGUCAAACCUACAUCAACGCAAAGCUGAUAUAACUCUGUGGGUGGAAAAAAUGAAAUUGUUGCAGUCGAAGCACGAAUCUGUGAAAACAGUGAAAUUUUCUCACGUCGAACAGACACUAGCAAGGAAGUUCUCUCGACUUUUUCCCAAAAGAUCAUGUUCGACGACAUUAGAAUGUCGACAUUAGAAUAGUGGAUUGCGCAACAGGUUGCGCGGUUCAUCGACGGUGAAACAAUCUGUGUGCGAUCGAGAUCAUUGGCCUUUAUAAACAUGACUAAACAGUAUGCAACGGCUAGUAAUAUUUCUUUUCAGCAAGAACUAAUUACAAGUAAUUCAAAUUUUGAAAUUCUCCGUUUCUCGACGACUCGGUGCUUUAAGAGCGAGCAAGAGCGAAAUAUAAAAGAAAAACCAUCUUAAGAUUAUAACACUACAUGAGAAACAAAAUCGAUUGUCCGCGCUGUAUGUAGCAAGGAAAUUGAUUAAACGAUAUACGUGAAAGAAAAUAAGAUCUAUUUGUUAGGCUCUUACCGUAACGCGUUUCAUCGAGCGCAUGCAUUCGUGACGAAACUGUAAAGCAUGCGCACGUUUAAACAGUACACAGGACAACGAACAAUUAUCGCAACUUUCGUCGUUGACCAUUCCUGACAUGCAGCGCGCGCGUGUUCUAGAUCUUCGAGUUACACAUUUAAUCACAAUUAAUCAUAAAAUGAAAGAAUUCGUCGGUUGCUUAAUUCUUAACGCACAACACAUUAGACGCCGUAAUACGAAGGAAACGAGCCAGAAUUGCUUGCAACGCCAUGCGACAAGCAUCGAUUCGACGAUCUCGUUGCUGAUAAACGAAAGAACGUUGCUACUUUCCAAGUGAAACUAGAUAAAAUGUACCGGUGGUUUGCGUAAGAAGGAUCUAAAGCGCAAGUACUGUCAAGCAUGGAUGAGUAACGACCAACAACUAACUCGUUAAGCGAAUUCUCGUUUCCGGUGAGUGUGGCAAUAAGAUUGAACAAACGAGAAUGAAAGAUGCGGUUCGUGGAUUUAGCAAGCAUCCAGAACGGAAUAGUUUACUGUCCUUAAUAAUAACCUCGGAAAAUACAAUAUUAAAAAUAAGAAACCGAGUAUUAGUAACUUUAUGUUCCAAGUUUUGAUCUAUAGUUCGAGUCGUGCGAUCUAUGGAAUAUUUUCCUGGGUCCUAGUGGUUUCUAUCGUCGACGUGGUAAAACUUUAACGAGUAAUAGCAAGAAAGGGAAAUCUCACCGUCUGGAAGCGAUGCGUUGCGGACUUGUCGCCGUGCUGGAAGGUGGACUCGUAGAAGCACCGCCAAAAGAGCUGGAGCAUGUCGUGAUUCCCGAAGCAGUUGUAUCACUGCCCGUAGUCGACGAUAAAACGCUGCUUUGCCUCGAAGUAAUGUCGCGACUUCGCGUUCUUUGCGAUCGACUUGCUCUAAAUUGUCUUCCGCCUCUCCUCGAUGGCACUACAUUUGAAUUAUUCGAGUUUCUUACAGGAGCGCUGGAUGGCCUAAGGAGGGUGCCGGAAGUACCGUUCGUUUGGGCAGCUAAUAUCUCUGGAGCGAUUAAAGCGAUAUCUGGCAAAGAAUUUGGCGCGGAUACGACAGCUCCGUGGCAACCGUUCAAAUCAAUGUUUCGUUGUCGUUCAGUUUCUUCCGGUAAUCUCAAAUGACGCAAACGUCUCAUCGAAGCCCGUACCCAAGAAUUAACAAGCGUAGGGUUGUCACGUGUUUCGCGA